AGAGUUUGAUCAUGGCUCAGACACGCUGGCGGCGUGCUUAACACAUGCAAGUCGACGAUGAACCGGAGCUUGCCCCGGGGAUUAGUGGCGAACGGGUGAGUAACACGUGGGCAACCUGCCCCAGACAUCGGGAUAACCAUUCGAAAGGAUGGCUAAUACCGGAUAUGACCACUUCGGGCAUCCGAUGGUGGUGGAAAGGAUUCUGGUCUGGGAUGGGCCCGCGGCCUAUCAGCUAGUUGGUGGGGUAAUGGCCUACCAAGGCGACGACGGGUAGCCGGCCUGAGAGGGCGACCGGCCACACUGGGACUGAGACACGGCCCAGACUCCUACGGGAGGCAGCAGUGGGGAAUAUUGCGCAAUGGGCGAAAGCCUGACGCAGCGACGCCGCGUGAGGGACGAAGGUCUUCGGAUUGUAAACCUCUUUCAGCAGGGACGAAGCGAAAGUGACUGUACCUGCAGAAGAAGCACCGGCUAACUACGUG
This 482-nucleotide ribosomal RNA is filed under the name uncultured bacterium. RNAcentral's name for it is "bacterial SSU rRNA". It matches the Rfam family "Bacterial small subunit ribosomal RNA", at positions 8 to 507 of the family's 1533-position model. The record is from RNAcentral.